This 389-nucleotide ribosomal RNA is filed under the name Enterococcus faecium. RNAcentral's name for it is "bacterial SSU rRNA". It matches the Rfam family "Bacterial small subunit ribosomal RNA", at positions 1153 to 1533 of the family's 1533-position model. The record is from RNAcentral. Lineage: Bacteria; Bacillati; Bacillota; Bacilli; Lactobacillales; Enterococcaceae.
CGGUGACAAACCGGAGGAAGGUGGGGAUGACGUCAAAUCAUCAUGCCCCUUAUGACCUGGGCUACACACGUGCUACAAUGGGAAGUACAACGAGUCGCGAAGUCGCGAGGCUAAGCUAAUCUCUUAAAGCUUCUCUCAGUUCGGAUUGCAGGCUGCAACUCGCCUGCAUGAAGCCGGAAUCGCUAGUAAUCGCGGAUCAGCACGCCGCGGUGAAUACGUUCCCGGGCCUUGUACACACCGCCCGUCACACCACGAGAGUUUGUAACACCCGAAGUCGGUGAGGUAACCUUUUGGAGCCAGCCGCCUAAGGUGGGAUAGAUGAUUGGGGUGAAGUCGUAACAAGGUAGCCGUAUCGGAAGGUGCGGCUGGAUCACCUCCUUUCUAAGGAA